UGCAUACUGCUUUGACAUCGACAUCUUGAACGCAUAUUGCGGCCAUGGGUUAGCCUGUGGCCACGCCUGUCCGAGGGUCGGCUU
Molecule: ribosomal RNA, 84 nt
Filed under: Philophthalmus gralli
Lineage: Eukaryota; Metazoa; Platyhelminthes; Trematoda; Plagiorchiida; Philophthalmidae
Description: partial 5.8S ribosomal RNA
Rfam family: 5.8S ribosomal RNA
About the family: 5.8S ribosomal RNA (5.8S rRNA) is a component of the large subunit of the eukaryotic ribosome. It is transcribed by RNA polymerase I as part of the 45S precursor that also contains 18S and 28S rRNA.
Source: RNAcentral